AUUGAACGCUGGCGGCAUGCCUUACACAUGCAAGUCGAACGGCAGCACGGGAGCAAUCCUGGUGGCGAGUGGCGAACGGGUGAGUAAAGUAUCGGAACGUGCCCAGUCGUGGGGGAUAACGUAGCGAAAGUUACGCUAAUACCGCAUACGAUCUAUGGAUGAAAGCGGGGGAUCGCAAGACCUCGCGCGAUUGGAGCGGCCGAUAUCAGAUUAGGUAGUUGGUGGGGUAAAGGCUCGCCAAGCCGACGAUCUGUAGCUGGUCUGAGAGGACGACCAGCCACACUGGGACUGAGACACGGCCCAGACUCCUACGGGAGGCAGCAGUGGGGAAUUUUGGACAAUGGGGGAAAGCCUGAUCCAGCCAUGCCGCGUGCAGGAUGAAGGCCUUCGGGUUGUAAACUGCUUUUGUACGGAACGAAAAGGUUUGGGCUAAUAAGCUGAGCUCAUGACGGUACCGUAAGAAUAAGCACCGGCUAACUACGUGCCAGCAGCCGCAGUAA
Molecule: ribosomal RNA, 500 nt
Filed under: uncultured bacterium
Lineage: Bacteria
Description: partial 16S ribosomal RNA
Rfam family: Bacterial small subunit ribosomal RNA
Source: RNAcentral